Molecule: ribosomal RNA, 450 nt
Filed under: uncultured Glomus
Lineage: Eukaryota; Fungi; Glomeromycota; Glomeromycetes; Glomerales; Glomeraceae
Description: SSU rRNA
Rfam family: Eukaryotic small subunit ribosomal RNA
Source: RNAcentral
AGCAGCCGCGGUAAUUCCAGCUCCAAUAGCGUAUAUUAAAGUUGUUGCAGUUAAAAAGCUCGUAGUUGAAUUUCGAGACCGGUUUACUGGUCGUGCUUUUGUACGUACUGGUAUUAUUGGUUUCUCCUUUCUGACGAAUCUUAAUGCCAUUAAUUUGGUGUUUUGGGGAAUCAGGACUGUUACUUUGAAAAAAUUAGAGUGUUUAAAGCAGGCUCACGCUUGAAUACAUUAGCAUGGAAUAACGAAAUAGGACGUUUGAUUUUAUUUUGUUGGUUUCUAGGAUCGACGUAAUGAUUAAUAGGGAUAGUUGGGGGCAUUAGUAUUCAAUUGUCAGAGGUGAAAUUCUUGGAUUUAUUGAAGGCUAACUACUGCGAAAGCAUUUGCCAAGGAUGUUUUCAUUAAUCAAGAACGAAAGUUAGGGGAUCGAAGACGAUCAGAUACCGUCGUAGU